GGACCCGCACAAGCGGUGGAGCAUGUGGUUUAAUUCGAAGCAACGCGAAGAACCUUACCAAAUCUUGACAUCCUUUGACAACUCUAGAGAUAGAGCUUUCCCCUUCGGGGGACAAAGUGACAGGUGGUGCAUGGUUGUCGUCAGCUCGUGUCGUGAGAUGUUGGGUUAAGUCCCGCAACGAGCGCAACCCUUAAGCUUAGUUGCCAGCAUUAAGUUGGGCACUCUAAGUUGACUGCCGGUGACAAACCGGAGGAAGGUGGGG
RNAcentral lists this ribosomal RNA (262 nucleotides) under uncultured prokaryote. Its description in RNAcentral is "partial 16S ribosomal RNA". It matches the Rfam family "Bacterial small subunit ribosomal RNA", at positions 917 to 1178 of the family's 1533-position model. The record is from RNAcentral.